This 335-nucleotide unclassified non-coding RNA is filed under the name soil metagenome. Its description in RNAcentral is "partial contains 5.8S ribosomal RNA, internal transcribed spacer 2, and large subunit ribosomal RNA". The stretch from base 1 to 120 matches the Rfam family "5.8S ribosomal RNA", at positions 35 to 154 of the family's 154-position model. The record is from RNAcentral.
GAUGAAGAACGUAGCGAAAUGCGAUAAGUAGUGUGAAUUGCAGAAUUCAGUGAAUCAUCGAAUCUUUGAACGCACAUUGCGCCCUUUGGUAUUCCUUAGGGCAUGCCUGUUCGAGCGUCAUUUAAACCUUCAAGCCCUGCUUGGUGUUGGGUGCCUGUCCCGCCCCCGCGCGUGGACUCACCUCAAAUCCAUUGGCGGCCCCCGCAAGGCCACGAGCGCAGCAGAAACGCAAACUCGUGUGCCCGGCGGGCGGCUCCCAGAAGCUACACCCACCAUUUUGACCUCGGAUCAGGUAGGGAUACUCGCUGAACUUAAGCAUAUCAAUAAGCGGAGGA